GGACGAACGCUGGCGGCGUGCCUAAUACAUGCAAGUCGAACGAGCUCUCCCAAAUUGAUUUUAUGCUUGCAUAAAUGAUUUUUGGAUUCGGAGCGAGUGGCGAACUGGUGAGUAACACGUGGGUAACCUGCCCCGAAGCGGGGGAUAACAUUUGGAAACAAGUGCUAAUACCGCAUAAUUAGUUGGAACCGCAUGGUUCCAACUUGAAAGAUGGCUCUGCUAUCACUUUGGGAUGGACCCGCGCCGUAUUAGUUAGUUGGUGAGAUAAAAGCCCACCAAGACGAUGAUACGUAGCCGACCUGAGAGGGUAAUCGGCCACAUUGGGACUGAGACACGGCCCAGACUCCUACGGGAGGCAGCAGUAGGGAAUCUUCCACAAUGGACGAAAGUCUGAUGGAGCAACGCCGCGUGAGUGAUGAAGGUUUUCGGAUCGUAAAACUCUGUUGUUAAAGAAGAACAAGUGUUAGAGUAACUGUUAACACUUUGACGGUAUUUAACCAGAAAGCCACGGCUAACUACGUGCCAGCAGCCGCGGUAAUACGUAGGUGGCAAGCGUUGUCCGGAUUUAUUGGGCGUAAAGCGAGCGCAGGCGGUUUUGUAAGUCUGCUGUGAAAGCCCUCAGCUCAACUGAGGAAGUGCAGUGGAAACUACAAAACUUGAGUACAGAAGAGGAAAGUGGAACUCCAUGUGUAGCGGUGAAAUGCGUAGAUAUAUGGAAGAACACCAGUGGCGAAGGGCGGCUUUCUGGUCUGUUACUGACGCUGAGGCUCGAAAGCAUGGGUAGCGAACAGGAUUAGAUACCCUGGUAGUCCAUGCCGUAAACGAUGAAUACUAGGUGUUGGAGGGUUUCCGCCCUUCAGUGCCGCAGCUAACGCAUUAAGUAUUCCGCCUGGGGAGUACGACCGCAAGGUUGAAACUCAAAGGAAUUGACGGGGGCCCGCACAAGUGGUGGAGCAUGUGGUUUAAUUCGAUGCUACGCGAAGAACCUUACCAGCUCUUGACAUCUUCUGCCAACCCAAGAGAUUGGGCGUUCCCUUCGGGGACAGAAUGACAGGUGGUGCAUGGUUGUCGUCAGCUCGUGUCGUGAGAUGUUGGGUUAAGUCCCGCAACGAGCGCAACCCUUAUUAUUAGUUGCCAGCAUUUAGUUGGGCACUCUAGUGAGACUGCCGGUGAUAAACCGGAGGAAGGUGGGGACGACGUCAAAUCAUCAUGCCCCUUAUGAGCUGGGCUACACACGUGCUACAAUGGAUGGUACAACGAGUCGCGAAACCGCGAGGUCAAGCUAAUCUCUUAAAGCCAUUCUCAGUUCGGAUUGCAGGCUGCAACUCGCCUGCAUGAAGUUGGAAUCACUAGUAAUCGUGGAUCAGCAUGCCACGGUGAAUACGUUCCCGGGCCUUGUACUCACCGC
RNAcentral lists this ribosomal RNA (1408 nucleotides) under uncultured Bacilli bacterium. RNAcentral describes it as "bacterial SSU rRNA". It matches the Rfam family "Bacterial small subunit ribosomal RNA", at positions 27 to 1393 of the family's 1533-position model. The record is from RNAcentral. Lineage: Bacteria; Bacillati; Bacillota; Bacilli.